GACGAACGCUGGCGGCGUGCUUAACACAUGCAAGUCGAACGCUGAAGCUCAGCUUGCUGGGUGGAUGAGUGGCGAACGGGUGAGUAACACGUGAGUAACCUGCCCCCUUCUUUGGGAUAACGCCCGGAAACGGGUGCUAAUACUGGAUAUUCACUGAUCUUCGCAUGGGGGUUGGUGGAAAGGUUUUUUCUGGUGGGGGAUGGGCUCGCGGCCUAUCAGCUUGUUGGUGGGGUGAUGGCCUACCAAGGCUUUGACGGGUAGCCGGCCUGAGAGGGUGACCGGUCACAUUGGGACUGAGAUACGGCCCAGACUCCUACGGGAGGCAGCAGUGGGGAAGAUUGCACAAUGGGCGAAAGCCUGAUGCAGCGACGCCGCGUGAGGGAUGGAGGCCUUCGGGUUGUAAACCUCUUUCGCUCAUGGUCAAGCCGCAACAGUGGUUGUGGUGAGGGUAGUGGGUAAAGAAGCGCCGGCUAACUACGUG
Molecule: ribosomal RNA, 481 nt
Filed under: uncultured bacterium
Lineage: Bacteria
Description: partial 16S ribosomal RNA
Rfam family: Bacterial small subunit ribosomal RNA
Source: RNAcentral